UUCUCGCUCUUUAGGAUGUGCAAUUCAUUAAGAACAAGCUUUUAUUGGGUCUAGAUUCGCUUUGAAAAAAGAACUGGGAAUAAGCCGCCAAUUCCAGGCUCAUCCAGCCCCCUGGUCCGGACUUGACAACUGCCGCCACCACAAGGCUGAAAGAGCAAGCGAGAGGGCUUGAAGACAGCAGAGCAUGAAACCCCCGAGAACCUGCCGACCAGCCGAGAUUCUCUGUCUGGUCGUGUGCUGUGCGGCCGGCUGUCUACUCAACCUGGCCGGGUUCACGCGUGGAAAUGAACCCAGGAACAUUACAGCAUCUGUGAACAGCAAUGUAUCCAUGUCCUGUGCUGCUGCAUGGAAAGAUGUACAGCUCUCCGAAGUUACUGUUAACUGCCAGACUGACUCGCACGAAGUUGUGCACAGCUUUCGUGAUGAUGAAGACGACCUGACGAAUCAAGCAGAGAGGUUUCGCGGGCGAACUGAAGUCAUUCACAAGGACAUUCGCAAUGGCAAAGCAUCUUUGCUGCUGAAAAAUAUAGUCCCAAAUGAUAUGGGAACCUAUCAUAUUUACUUUUUUCACCACAGGGGUUAUGAGCACUGCAUCUUCCACCUUCAAGUGCCAGGGAAGGGCGCUGCAGUCCCAGUGCUGGGAGCUGUGCACUGUCUCGCUGCCGUCCUGCUGCUGUACAUGGUGUUGUGAGCACGUGAAGAUAAUCUAUCUUCCUGCAGAGCCCAGAUGCAAAUGCUGACUUGUGAGCCCGAGCACUGAGGAACCCAAAGUGCCUCUCGCUUCAUCUUUCCCAGCACCUCUACGGUACGUGACCUGCCUGCUGCCGCGACUGCCGGGGCCCAGUGGAGCGGACGGUGGGACGUCUGCCAAGAGCUGCUGCUUAAGGAAGUCUCCCCAGGACCUGGCAAGGCAGAAGUCCCACCGGAGAGGAGGCCUUAAAGUGAUUCCUGGUGGAGGGAGGGGUUGUGGGGUAGAAAUGCUAGUAGGGGGUGUGUGUGUGUGUUUGUUUUAUGUGUGUGUGUCACAGGGCACUAAGGUGCGUGCUUCUUUAAGGGCAUGAACUGCCUAGGAGAGAGCCCAGCAGUCAGUCAAGAGCCUCUCGGCUGCAAGUUAUAGCCCAGGGGCUCGUAUUUUGAUUUCUGUUUGUAAACCGGAGGAUUGGGCUGGGGCUCAUUGGGGGCCCACUACAGUGUGGGGACCCCAGCGCCAGUGUAGGCGCAGUGACAAAGCGGGUGAGCGGACCCCAGCACCAGGGGGCACAGAGACAGAGAGACAGAGACAGGGCUGCGGAUAGCCCAGUGAUGACCAGAGGCCAGGUUAAACUAAGGCCUUGGAGAGACACUGUGUGAAUGCCAUCUGCGAGGCUUGGGGCGUGGUAAAGGGACAGUUUGGAGCCACACAUCUAGCCCAUAAGGCUGAGGGUGUCCCGAGAGGCAUCCAUUUUGGAGCAGGACCCAAAAGGGUUCAGCGGGGUCCAUCAGGACUGUGCCCAAAAUACAAACUUGAGGGCAGCCUCCCUAUUUAUUACAGUUACAACAAGACAUGGCAGGAAAGAAAGAGGGUGCCCGUUGGGCAGAAUUGGCAUGGACAAGGAGCUCUAGGGGUAUCAUGGCCAUCCCUGGAGACCCCAUCCCAUGACACUGUGUAAUACAUUUUCCCCCAGUUUGCAGAAAAAUGGAAUCAAAGGAAAGUAGGGCUGAAAGGGACUUAACAAGUUUCCUAGUUCAGCUUCAUGCUUAAGGCAGGGGCAUCCCCAAAUAAACCAUCCCCAGCAAGAAUCUGUCUAACCUGCUCUUGAAUACUUGCAAGGAUGGAAAUUCCACUGUCUCGAGGUGCCUGUUACAAUGCUUGACCACUGUCAUCGUCAGAAAGUUCCUCCCAAUAUCCAACCUAAUUACCUCUGCUGCAGGUUGAGGCCGUUGCUCCUUGUUUCAUCCCUGCCACAGAGAAAAGGCCAUCUCCAUCCUCUCUAUAGUCACCCUUCAGGUAGUUGAAGACCAUUAUCAAGUCUCCCCACUCAGUCUUCUCUUCUCCAGACUAAAUAACCCUAGCUUUUUCAGCCUCUACUGACAACCCUCAACUUCCUACUUCAAAGGAUCAUACACAGGAGAUUCAGGGACAGCUCCUCUGCUGUUAGGUCACCUGACAGUACCUUGAAUGCAAGGCCUCAGGAGUUCCUCCUGCCACUCCUCAACUGAUCCUUUAAGGAUGAUGGAAUAUUUACACCAGCAUAAUAGUAGUGGACAAAUGAUGCAAACUCGUAAACUGUGGUAACUUCACCCAAUGUGGAGAACUGCCCUAGAAAGAUGUCACUAGAGUUUCACCCCUGAUUAAGUCUAGGUUCCAUCUGUCCACCUUCAACAUGGGGCGACAGUCUGCUAAAGGCAAAGAGGCAUCCUCUCACUGUCUAGUAACUGUUCACAGCCAUGGGACAGCUGCACAUCUGCCCUGUCCUAUUCCUGGUGCAGUUUAUACUAGUGUACCAAACUGGUGCCAUUUAGGCUGAGGCAUGUGUUCAUCUCUCCCUGGCCUAUGCCUGUAAUGUGGGCCUUAAAGGGUUAUCACUGGUGCAUACCAAUGCAAGUGGCAAGGCACCUCUUCCUGCUCCCAGAUGAGUUGAAGAGACAUCCACUAUUCCCUGUCCAAUGUACCAACCCAGGAAGUCAUGUCAGUAGCGUUAAGUAUAGACAGACAAGAUUCUUUGGGUAAGUCCAAUAUUUUUUAUUAGACCAAUUAAAAUAGUUGGAAAAAUCCUUCUUUACAAGCUUUCAGGUAAAACACCCUUCAUCAGACUGAUGAAGCAUCUGCAGUUAGUCUAUCCUUUUCCUGGAUGAAAUAGUAAAGAAAGCCAGUCAGUGAAAAUGUAAACUGAAUCAGUCAAUGGGGGAGAGACAGGUGGGGUUGGGGAAAGGGAAUGUAGACCUGGUGAUAAGAUAUAGCUGGUAAAUAGUAGAGAGGUUACCUGGGGUAUCAGAUAUUGGGCAGGUUGUAAUGUGCCAUAAAGCCAAUGUCUAUAUUUAGUCCAUGAUUUUUUGUAUCCAGUAGCUUGAUGAAGUGAAGUUCGUAGGCUUGUCUGUGAAAGGUGUCUUGUAAAUUCCCUUUGAGGAUUAGAACUGAGAGAUCGGAAGGAGAGUGAUUGUCUUGUAAGAAAUGCAUCCCCACAGGUGGUUGGGUAUUCUUGUCUUUGAUUGAUUCCCUAUGUACGUCAUUCUGGUACACCGGUGGUGUUUGGGCUCUCCUACAUAUUUCCCAUCAGGGCAUUUGGUGCUCUGUGUGCCCAGUGUGGGAGAGCUGGGCAUGUAGAGUCCCCCUACCUGGGGUGGAUCAUCCUCCUGCUUGCCUGCCACAUCUUUUUGGUGUAAAGAAGUUAGGAGGUUUCAUUGGGGAAAAUGGGAUGUUACUCCACCCUCGGGUUGGCUCGAUGAGAAAACGAGUGACUUAGAGCUCCACCUCCCCUACACCCUGUCCAAUGGACAACCAAAAUAAAGUCACGGCAGCAACUGGGACUCAGUGCUACACGCUUGCCUCAGUCUGCUGCACCCUCCUGGGCUUGGCUUAAUUCUCUCCUUGUUCAGUUUCAAAGUCCAGGGUAACAGGCGUAUGGUCUCCCGCUUCAGCCAUCCCCUCUAAAAGGCGGAAAACUCUGUGGCCACCACCUCUCCCUGCUGGGCCACUGAGGUCAUGACAGGGUGCACUCCCCUGGCUGACCCUUCUUCUGUGGUAAUGAAACAUCAACACCCAAGGAGAACUUAAACUUUCAAAAGACCCCAGCAUCUGGCAUGUUGCCGCCUAGGGAACGGGACUCGCAUGUCCAAAGCUCCGUCUGGUGGACUCAGUCGCGCGAUGGGUCCCACCAGUCGCACUCAGCAAUCACACUGCCAGUCUUUAGUGGUGAGAGGCUCCUGGCUCUCCCCUGUGCCAGCACGGGUAUGCUCCCUCGGUGCACUCUCUGGGUUCUGCCGGGUCUGCAAGGGGGCUCCUUGCAGCCCGAGCUGCUUUUGGUCCCGCGCCACAUCCUGGGGCUUGUCAAUGGCAAGGAUGCUCUUUUAUGAUGUUAUCAGCUGUGUGCUGUCCCACACGCAGGGAGAGCAUGCACUUAAAAUGCUCUGCUGGCUUGGGUCACUGAAGGGAAAGAUAAGUAACCUUUCAGCCCGCUCUGGGCUCUGUUCCCCCACCAGUCGGGGUGUGUUGGGGGGGAUUCCCCCUGCUCCCGGGGUACUUGGGAGUCUCAUCACUCAGCACAGUGACACAUCCCCCACUUUAGGUUUUGGAGACCUGUCGCUCUCCGGUGGCCUCAGUCAUUACCUGAAUCCACGUUCUGCCGUACUCUGUGGAUCCCACUGUUAGCCACGGCAUUGUCUUGACCUGGUCUAUGUAUCACCACAAACUUGGGUAGCUGAAGGGAAGGUGAGGAACCCUUCAGCCCACUCCGGGGUUUGCUCCCCCAUCAGUCAGGGUGUGUCGGGGUGGGGGGAGUUCCCCCUGCUCCCGGGGUACCUGGGAGUCUCAUUGCCCAGGACGGUGCCCCACUGGAUGAGAUAGUUUACAUUUCUGGAGGUGCAGGUGUAAGAUCGGGGAACGGUGAUGGUUCUGCUGUGAGGUGGAGUUAUUGUGGGACUGGUGGAGAUGUGUUGGCAGGUUUUGCAUUUCUUGUCCCAGCACGGUCCCGAUCCAUAUAGCAUCCCAUGCAGACUUGCUAACACUGCUGUGACCUCCGCAAGGAAGCGGGAGAAAGGGAGUGGCUGCUGGGGAGCCCUGCGCUGAAUUCUUGUCCCAUUCUUCUUUUGUUCAUUUUCUAGCUUUUAUCGCUAUAUAAAUGAAACGAAGUGUAUGACUGUAUGUAUGUUUGCUUAUAACUCAAGAAUGGCGGGUCCUAUCUACUCUAAACCUUCCCAAAUCACUGAACACCACCCGAGGGAAAACUAUAGGUGGGAUAGUUAUCACUUGACCCUUUCUGGGGCUUCCAGGGACUGGGAUUUCUUUGCUUCAAAGAUAACAAACUGGGACCUCUCCAUUUUAGCUGCAGUGAAUUCAGUUCAAUUGUCAUUAUUAUAGAGAUGCUUGUCUUUUUUUUCCAACUCAGUUGUCAUUAUUGUAUUGAAGCUUGCCCUUUUUUUGCUCCACCUUAAAUAUUACAUGUUAAAUAUGUUGUCCUAAGUUCUUUGAAAAGAAACAAGCACUGCAAUUACAGAAACAACACCCUGGGCGAAGAAUGGGUACUUCAGCUAGUUUACUAAUAAAGUGCAUUUCCUUCA
This is a long non-coding RNA of Alligator mississippiensis (American alligator), 5256 nucleotides long. RefSeq lists it as uncharacterized. NCBI's taxonomy places the organism in Eukaryota, Metazoa, Chordata, Crocodylia, Alligatoridae. The transcript is spliced from 5 exons. The record is from RefSeq and is a predicted model, not a curated record.